This 451-nucleotide ribosomal RNA is filed under the name uncultured bacterium. Its description in RNAcentral is "partial 16S ribosomal RNA". It matches the Rfam family "Bacterial small subunit ribosomal RNA", at positions 28 to 523 of the family's 1533-position model. The record is from RNAcentral.
GAUGAACGCUGGCGGCGUGCCUAAUACAUGCAAGUCGAACGAGAUCUUCGGAUCUAGUGGCGAACGGGUGAGUAACGCGUUGGUACCUACCCUGAAGUGGGGAAUAACUGGCCGAAAGGUCGGCUAAUACCGCAUAAUACCGCAAGGUUAAAGUCGUAAGACGCUUCGGGAGGGGCCUGCGUCCCAUUAGCUAGUUGGUGAGGUAACUGCUCACCAAGGCGACGAUGGGUAGCUGGAUCGAGAGGUUGACCAGCCACACUGGGACUGAGAUACGGCCCAGACUCCUACGGGAGGCAGCAGUAAGGAAUCUUCCACAAUGGGCGAAAGCCUGAUGGAGCAACGCCGCGUGCAGGAUGACGGUCUUCGGAUUGUAAACUGCUUUUAUAUGGGAAGAUUAUGACGGUACCAUAUGAAUAAGCACCGGCUAACUACGUGCCAGCAGCCGCCGCGG